UGGACACUGGAGAUUUACAGACAGUUUCAAUUUCUGGAGCUUAUCUGAUUUGACUUUGUGGUGUUUUUUUAUGUAUCCCUUUUACUUACAAAGUAAAUUAACGCACGACGAGUCAUCUUGAAGGACGCGUCGGUUUGAAAGAUGAACCAUGGAUUAUUGUUGUGGCUGUGUCUGUCAGUGGUGGUCCACACCAUGGCAGACAAUGAAGACAGCGUGGUCAUGAAUGUUGGCUUGGAGGUCAAGCCACUCAUCAUCAGCAGUCAUGCAACCACCUUGGCAACCUGUGUGGUUUGUACUCCCGACCCCCCUGCUGAGGUAUCAUGGGAUGUACUAUCCCUCGGUGCCAUGGUUACAUCCUCUGAGGUCACAGCCAACUCCAACGAUAAUGGAACAAUCACAGUGACCAAUCACCUGAGGGGUGUGCCUUCCAGCGAAGUGAACCAGAAAAAGGUGCAAUGUUUGGUCAGACACCCCACGCUAGGCCGAGAUAAGGUCAUCAUCUACAUCAUAGACAUUCACUAUCCUCCUCAGUCCGUGAAGAUCACACAGAAGGACGAUGGCUAUCAGUGCGCUGCAGACGCCAACCCUAAACCCGUGUACACAUGGUCAAGAGAAGGCCAUCCCCUGCCCAGUGGGGUGAGAGCAGAAGGCAACAGGCUGUACCUGGACUUCAUUCCUGAGCUGAACGGCCUGUACACCUGCAAGGCCUCAAACUCCUAUGGCACUGCGGAAGGUCACCACACUCUGUAUGCAGUCACUGAGUCUGUGACACCCCUCUUUCAGAUAAUGGUGAUAAUCAUGACUACUGUUGGAGGUAUUGUCAUCUUCGUAACGUUAUUCCGGCAAUGGUAAAUCUGUAAUGUUAACACAAAUGUAACUGAAUGUUCUCUCAUCUUUUCUGCACACAUGACUAGUAUUUCCUGUGAUUCCUUCCAACUGCCAUGGACACCAUGCAAUUAAGAUGCAUGGAAUUAAAGCCAGAUACCAUGUGUGUGCUUGUCUGGAUGUGUGUGUAUUCUGGGAUGUGCAUAAAGUGAGAGAGAAAGAGAGAUCUGCCCACAGGCAUUCUUUUAAAACCUGUUUUGUCUUCCUGUUACAUAAAACUCACCCUGGUCUUGUGCUACCACAUUUACUUUCUACUGGUUGCUCCAUCCCUCAUGCAGAGAUUUGGCUUGGCAUCCAUUCAGACUUCAUGAGGAUAUGAACGUUUGAAUGAAUUAUCCCUACUUUGCAUCAAUUCAAUUCACCUUUAUGUUCUGUACAGAGGUUCUGUACAGAGAGUGCACAAUUUUCCUGCAAGGCUGUGCACCUAAAAUCUCUGACCAUGUUCAGCUCAGCAAUUCCACAAACCAAGCAGCAAUAGGAAACCGCUUCUGUGAAGUUCUAUUAGUUAAUAUCACAUUCAUUCACAAGUCAUGUUAUUUCAUUGUGUAUUUCAGGUAAUAUCAAUAAAAGUGCAUUUGUGUUGUUUUGCUUGAGUAACAAUAAAUCACAUAACAAUAACCCAAUUACAGUUCCACUGAAAAAUAGAUGAAAUGCAUAAAAAUGGUGGCUAUAGCAUUUUGGAAAAGAGCUCUUUAUGAGUCGUUAAUUGGCCUUAGUUCUGAGGUCUGACAGACACCUUAUUCUGCUUAUACUAUAACAAUAGUAUGUUCUGGCUGUAUUCUGUCUCCAAAAACAGACUGUGAUACACAGACAACUUGAACAAACAUAGGCUCCCAAUGAAAUUAUAUUCUGUAAUAUUCUGUGUACUGUAUAAGUGAAGUGGACAUUCUUUAACUUUCACAAAAACACUUCUGGAAUGAACACAGAACAUUUGCUUUUUUACUUAUUAGGAUGGAACAAUGGGGUUCAUCUAAUACUCUCAACAACAAGUCAACAUGAUGUGGUUAAAAUAGAAGUGUUUGGAUUUGCAUGUA
Alosa sapidissima (American shad) is the source of this 1919-nucleotide RNA transcript. It is a transcript of the gene named poliovirus receptor homolog, with no coding region annotated. NCBI's taxonomy places the organism in Eukaryota, Metazoa, Chordata, Actinopteri, Clupeiformes, Clupeidae. The record is from RefSeq and is a predicted model, not a curated record. The transcript has 6 exons.